RNAcentral lists this ribosomal RNA (497 nucleotides) under uncultured bacterium. RNAcentral describes it as "partial 16S ribosomal RNA". It matches the Rfam family "Bacterial small subunit ribosomal RNA", at positions 28 to 507 of the family's 1533-position model. The record is from RNAcentral.
GAUGAACGCUGGCGGCGUGCCUAAUACAUGCAAGUCGAGCGAACGGACGAGAAGCUUGCUUUUCUGAUGUUAGCGGCGGACGGGUGAGUAACACGUGGAUAACCUACCUAUAAGACUGGGAUAACUUCGGGAAACCGGAGCUAAUACCGGAUAAUAUUUUGAACCGCAUGGUUCAAAAGUGAAAGACGGUCUUGCUGUCACUUAUAGAUGGAUCCGCGCUGCAUUAGCUAGUUGGUAAGGUAACGGCUUACCAAGGCAACGAUGCAUAGCCGACCUGAGAGGGUGGUCGCCCAGCCUGGAACUGAGAAACGGUCGAGACUCCUACGGGGGGCAGCAGUAGGGAAUCUUCCGCGAUGGACGAGAGCCGGACGGAGCAAAGCCGCGUGAAUGAUGAAGGUCUUAGGAUCGGAGAACGCUGUUAUUAGGGAAGUACAUAAGUGUAAGGAACUGUGCAGAUCUUGACGGUACCUAAACAGAAAGCCACGGCUAACUACGUG